AAUCAACGCUGGCGGCGUGCCUAACACAUGCAAGUCGAACGCGAAAAGGGGCAACCCUGAGUAGAGUGGCGUCCGGGUGAGUAACACGUGGAUAAUCUGCCUGCGGGCGGGGAAGUAACUUUCCGAAAGGGGAGGCUAAUACCGCAUAACACCGUAAUAGGGCGAUCCUGAUACGGUCGAAAGAAGGGGGAGUCGCAAGACCUCUCGCCUGCAGAGGAGUCCGCGGCCGAUUAGCUAGUUGGCGAGGUAACGG
This 253-nucleotide ribosomal RNA is filed under the name uncultured bacterium. RNAcentral describes it as "partial 16S ribosomal RNA". It matches the Rfam family "Bacterial small subunit ribosomal RNA", at positions 32 to 263 of the family's 1533-position model. The record is from RNAcentral.